GUUGGACCAAGUAGGCUUUUCGGCCAUGGGUUCGUUUUUUUACACCCUUUUUUUAAAGAAAUUUUGUACAUCCCUUUGAGGAUGCAAUCAAAUUUAGUCAAAGUUGAGACAUUUUUUGUUGGACGGAGGGAAUACGUAAGCAAUUUUCUUCUCUUUUUGUUGCAUGUUCAAUGACUUUGCAUAUUGUGGAAUUAGUAUAUGUGGUCGUCCUAUAUUCUAGUACGAUGCUGGAGAGGAUAUUUUUUUUGCAACUACAUUUUUUAACAUAUUAAUGCCAAAGAAAUUUGGAGACUAGUCCUGUGAGGAAGCAAUUUUAACGCACUUGAUUUGUUUGCUCGUGGUUGUAUGAAAAUUUAUACUUACACAAAGAAUAUGAGCAUAUAUGUAUGGAAAGAAUUGCGAGUUUGGCAUUAGGAAUACUCCAUCAUUCCACAAUAUAGGCCAUUUAGUUUUGUUGAUUGUCAAACCUUUAUCUUAGUGA
Molecule: long non-coding RNA, 481 nt
Filed under: Brachypodium distachyon (stiff brome)
Lineage: Eukaryota; Viridiplantae; Streptophyta; Magnoliopsida; Poales; Poaceae
Description: long non-coding RNA (BDIS_LNC004005)
Source: RNAcentral